AAAAAGAUAAGCUAAGUUAAGCUAAUGGGUUCAUACCCCAUUCAUAGAAAAUCUCUUCUUUUUA
This 64-nucleotide transfer RNA is filed under the name Furcilarnaca chirurga. RNAcentral describes it as "tRNA-Met". Lineage: Eukaryota; Metazoa; Arthropoda; Insecta; Orthoptera; Gryllacrididae. The record is from RNAcentral.